This 614-nucleotide ribosomal RNA is filed under the name uncultured crenarchaeote. RNAcentral's name for it is "16S ribosomal RNA". It matches the Rfam family "Archaeal small subunit ribosomal RNA", at positions 325 to 879 of the family's 1478-position model. Lineage: Archaea; Thermoproteati; Thermoproteota. The record is from RNAcentral.
AUGGGGUGCAGCAGGCGAGAAAACUUUGCAAUGUGCGAAAGCACGACAAGGUUAAUCCGAAUGGGGNNCNNNNNGNNNGAAAACUUUGCAAUGUGCGAAAGCACGACAAGGUUAAUCCGAGUGUUUUCUGCUAAAGAAAUCUUUNNNNNNNCGUAAAACCACUGGUGAAUAAGGGGUGGGCAAGUUCUGGUGUCAGCCGCCGCGGUAAAACCAGCACCUCAAGUGGUCAGGAUGAUUAUUGGGCCUAAAGCAUCCGUAGCCUGCUUUGUAAGUUUUCGGUUAAAUCCAUGUGCUCAACGCAUGGGCUGCCGAAAAUACUGCAUAGCUAGGGAGUGGGAGAGGUAGACGGUACUCAGUAGGUAGGGGUAAAAUCCUUUGAUCUAUUGAUGACCACCUGUGGCGAAGGCGGUCUACCAGAACACGUUCGACGGNGANGGANGAAAGCUGGGGGAGCAAACCGGAUUAAAUACCCGGGUAGUCCCAGCUGUAAACGAUGCAGACUCGAUGAUGCAUUGGCAUAAUAGCCAUUGCAGUGUCGCAGGGAAGCCGUUAAGUCUGCCGCCUGGGAAGUACGUACGCAAGUAUGAAACUUAAAGGAAUUGGCGGGGGAGCAC